Glossina fuscipes is the source of this 726-nucleotide long non-coding RNA. RefSeq lists it as uncharacterized. Lineage: Eukaryota; Metazoa; Arthropoda; Insecta; Diptera; Glossinidae. The record is from RefSeq and is a predicted model, not a curated record. The transcript has 3 exons.
AGUAAUUUCCACAAUAAUUAAAAAUAUAAUAUUUAUAAUUAAUUAACAAUUUUUAAUAUUACUGCUAAUGCUUCUAAGCUUACACGCAGGUUCCGUCGCCAAAUUUGCUCAUUACAUUCAGAAAUUUAACUUCAAUCUUUACUUUGACGAAGGUGUGGCCGCGCUGCUUUCUAAAACCACGUAAAUUAAAUGUACUGGACUCUCAACCAGUUCCAGGGCCGAUUCAAUGUCCAAUUUUAAUUGAAAAGCAUAAAAAGAGGUGGAGGUGAAUGCCGGCGAGAGACCGGUUUUUUAAGGACUACAGUAGAAGACAGUGCUUACUCUCGUGAUAGCAUGAAAUGGAAAUUCUACGACGAUGUGCAGUUUUUAGAUGUCACAGCGUGAAAUCAGAUGGAAAUAGAUUUGGACAUUGAGCCUAUGCUGGAGUUGAUUGAAAAAUCAGCACCUCCUACAAUAGUAGAGGAAGCGCAAACUAAGAUAGAAUCUUAGAAACAACAACCCCCCUCUUAUAUUUUAGAACUAAUUGUUGCACCAUCAGCGCAAUCCGUCCCUAAAAUCAAUUGAAGCAAGAAUACAGAUGGAAGAGUCAGAAGCUUUCUCUUUAGAAUUUGGAGACGUAAAUCAUGAUUCUUCAGUAAAAUUUGAGUUAAGCGAUACCGACUUUAAAGCACAACGAAAGCUAUCAACGUGGCUUAGACAGUAUCUGUACUCACACUGGUGAUGCUU